Molecule: long non-coding RNA, 1110 nt
Organism: Paramormyrops kingsleyae
Lineage: Eukaryota; Metazoa; Chordata; Actinopteri; Osteoglossiformes; Mormyridae
Source: RefSeq, a predicted model, not a curated record
UUCAAUAUUCAUUCUCGCCUGUGAGUUUUUCAGUUUCGCUGCUGGCUUUUCAUUCACUCCGCCCCGUUUUUCGUUUCCACUGUUUUUUCAGUUUCGCUGCUGGCUUUUCAUUCACUCCGCCCCGUUUUUCGUUUCCACUCUUUUUUCAGUUUCGCUGCUGGCUUUUCAGUCACUCCGCCCAGUUUUUCGUUUCCACAGAUCUCUCGUGUGGGCGGGGCUUCGCCUCAUUUGCCAGCAGGUAUUUGAGUGACAGCUCCGUGCCCCGUGAACUCUAUCACUGCGAGAUGCGCGGGCUUCUAAGAAGACGGACGGCAAGCAACAACCGCCAGUUAAGAUCACGUAUUGUGCACACGAUCAACUGCACGAUUAAGCAAUUCGAACUAUCGUUGCUCUUGAGCUGAACCUAAACAGGCCUCGACCACCAUGGAGUGCCAGAGAUGGUUGCUGGCUUAGAAACUCUGCUUUUCGAGGGAGAGGAUGGCAGGGGAAAAAUGCCCAAAUACUCUUUAAAUGACCUUGACAGUGGCAUUUUCCGUGUUGCUGGGGAAAUUUUUGCUGCAAGUCUUGCACAGGGUGGUCCAGCACCAGCGUUUUUACAAGAAUGGUGCUACGAUUUCCUUUUGACGGGAGAUCUAAAAAACAUUACAAGAAAUGAUGUACAUGACAUGGAAUUUUCAUCUUUGAUCAAGAUGGUUGAGGAAUCUUCAGAUCUGUCAUCUUGCACAGAACAGAUUAUCAGAUGUGGCUAUGCAGGGCCUAUUAACGAAGAAAACAAAGACAAAAUAACAAGGUUCAUGUUAUAUUCAUAUAAUGAAAACUUUUUACAUUAUACAUCACUACCAGUUUGUCUGUCUGUCCACUACUUAGCUGCCAGAAAGCUUAAAUCUAUUGUCUCAUGUUUUGUUGAGCACAUUAAGGAUGUCAUUAUGAAUAUUAUUGACCCUGUAAAUACUGAUGUCAUUACCCUGACUGUAGACACCUGAAUAGAUGUUUUUGAGUGUUUUUUGUAUUUAUUUGACUGACCUGGAGCAAAAAAAAAAAAAACAAAUUAAGUCAAGACAAGACACAUUUUCUUGUUUUCAAGACACAUUAAAACAAGACUUUGACAUA